RNAcentral lists this ribosomal RNA (263 nucleotides) under uncultured bacterium. Its description in RNAcentral is "partial 16S ribosomal RNA". It matches the Rfam family "Bacterial small subunit ribosomal RNA", at positions 793 to 1055 of the family's 1533-position model. The record is from RNAcentral.
GUCCACGCUGUAAACGAUGGGUGCUAGGUGUGGGCGGUGUCGACUCCGUCCGUGCCGAAGCUAACGCAUUAAGCACCCCGCCUGGGGAGUACGGCCGCAAGGCUAAAACUCAAAGGAAUUGACGGGGGCCCGCACAAGCAGCGGAGCAUGUGGUUCAAUUCGACGCAACGCGAAGAACCUUACCGAGGCUUGACAUGCACAGGAAUGUCGUAGAAAUACGGCAGCCCUUCGGGGCCUGUGCACAGGUGGUGCAUGGCUGUCGU